AUUGAACGCUGGCGGCAGGCCUAACACAUGCAAGUCGAACGAGUGGCGGACGGGUGAGUAAUGUCUGGGAAACUGCCUGAUGGAGGGGGAUAACUACUGGAAACGGUAGCUAAUACCGCAUACCAUCGGAUGUGCCCAGAUGGGAUUAGCUUGUUGGUGGGGUAACGGCUCACCAAGGCGACGAUCCCUAGCUGGUCUGAGAGGAUGAUCAGCCACACUGGGACUGAGACACGGCCCAGACUCCUACGGGAGGCAGCAGUGGGGAAUUUUGGACAAUGGGGGAAACCCUGAUCCAGCCAUCCCGCGUGUAUGAUGAAGGCCCUAGGGUUGUAAAGUACUUUCAGUCGGGAGGCGUUACCGACAGAAGAAGCACCGGCUAACUCCGUGCCAGCAGCCGCGGUAAUAC
This 406-nucleotide ribosomal RNA is filed under the name uncultured bacterium. Its description in RNAcentral is "partial 16S ribosomal RNA". It matches the Rfam family "Bacterial small subunit ribosomal RNA", at positions 30 to 526 of the family's 1533-position model. The record is from RNAcentral.